GACGAACGCUGGCGGCGUGCUUAACACAUGCAAGUCGAACGCUUAAGCUCAGCUUUUGUUGGGUGGAUGAGUGGCGAACGGGUGUGUAACACGUGAGUAACCUGCCCCCUUCUUUGGGAUAACGCCCGGCAACGGGUGCUAAUACUUGAUAUUCACUGGUCUUCGCAUGGGGGCUUGUGGAAAGGGUUUUUCUGGUGGGGGAUGGUCUCGUGGCCUAUCUGCUUGUUGGUGGGGUUAUGGCCUACCAAUGCUUUGACGGGUAGCCGGUAUGAGUAGGUGACCGGUAACAUAGGGACUGAGCUACGGCCCAGACUACUAAGGGAGGGAGAAGUGGGGAAUAUUGGAGAAUGGGGGAUACAGUCAUGCCGCGUCGCUGAGUAAGGGAUGGAGGCCGUAGAGUUGUGAACCUUUUUAGGUAAUGGUGAAGCCGCAACAAUGGUUGUGGUGACGGUAGUGGGUAAAGAAGCGCCGGCUAACUACGUG
RNAcentral lists this ribosomal RNA (483 nucleotides) under uncultured bacterium. RNAcentral describes it as "partial 16S ribosomal RNA". It matches the Rfam family "Bacterial small subunit ribosomal RNA", at positions 28 to 507 of the family's 1533-position model. The record is from RNAcentral.